UAAAAAGGUACAAUAAUUAGUGAUAAAAAGCAUAAAUAGUAAAAUGGGAUAAUAAAUAGUGAUAAUCCUAGUGAAUCAAUUCAUGAAUGAUGGGUUGUUAUUGUUAAAAACACGAUUUGAAUGUAUUUGAUAUAGCAGUACUUUUACUGUGACAGUUACGAUCUGGUUCUUUUAUUUUGACAUGCUGUUUAGCAAGCAUUCGGUUUCUGAUGGAGCCAUUCAGUCUGUUGAGCGGAUGAGAGCCAGAGAGUUGGAAACUCCACGUUUUCAGAGCUAGAAACAAUUGAAAGAAACUAAUUCUAAGUUGUUUACGAAGUUUAAGUUUCCUUUGGAGUACUGAGCGACCAGCUCUGUAAAUGCUGUAUGUUUGAAGACCAGAAGCUUUGUUUCGUCGAGUAUUUCUUUUGUUUGAAUCGUCUCGGUCAAGUUUUUGAGCUGGAUCUGGAUUUCGCUGAGGAUUCGUGGACUACAUUAGAUGGCGAGCCACCCACCCAUUCGAAUGUGAUCCUGUUCUAUGUCGUUGCACAUGGCAUAUCUGGUAGGAUUGUGGCCUGCUCGUGUCACAUCACUGACUAUGACUGACUUGACUUAUUGACUUGAAUUAACACUUUACGAACUGAACCAAGGAAUAACGCCUUGAACUGAACUCCUGGAAAGGAACUCUCUAAACUUUUCUCUUUGAGGAUUUAAAGGACUAUUUCCCAAGUUUUGAAAGACAAUUCAUUUUUAUUUUAUUUUAAAGGGUCCGAUCUUUUAUUUCGGGUAAUUGUAAAUAUUUCAACCUUUCAAUUUAUUACUAAAAGAAAGAAAAACUUA
Molecule: long non-coding RNA, 816 nt
Organism: Pygocentrus nattereri (red-bellied piranha)
Lineage: Eukaryota; Metazoa; Chordata; Actinopteri; Characiformes; Serrasalmidae
Exons: 2
Source: RefSeq, a predicted model, not a curated record